RNAcentral lists this small RNA (834 nucleotides) under Cryptococcus neoformans H99. RNAcentral describes it as "Cryptococcus neoformans var. grubii H99 hypothetical RNA". Lineage: Eukaryota; Fungi; Basidiomycota; Tremellomycetes; Tremellales; Cryptococcaceae. The record is from RNAcentral.
CUGCCUUCUUUCGAAUGGUCGUCGUGGUGGGGUGGUGGGCAUGAUGGUGAUCUGAUGAUGAGCAUGAUUGCACCAGCUAAGUACGUAUGACACCAUAAAAACCCUCCUGCUAGGCCUAUAAAAUCUUCGAUUAUAUGCCAGGCUUGAGGGCGGCGUGACUCGAACGUGAAUAGUUUUCUUCAUAGUUUUUAAUUUACAUGGUUCCACUACUAUUAAACAUAUUUCUGUUCCACUCAGUCUCUCUGGUGGUUCCUGGUCUAUCCGGCAAUUCCUCUAUUUCUUGCCUGAUAGCAGCGAAGUCCACCGCACCUCCGAGAGCACCCCGGCUUUCCAGCACUAACCCGUAGGUUAGAACCCUCUGCUCCAAAGCAGCCAGCAUCUCAAUCUCAGCAUCUAUCCCUUCCCACUUUUCCUCCCAAUCUUUUCUCAAAGCUGGGCCACACCGGCUCCUCCAGAGCUCCGGGUCAGGCUGGCCUUUCCAAGCUCGUACUAGACCAUCCCUCACCCAAUGGAGCUCAAGAAUCCUAUGAGCUUCCCUAGCCUCAGAGACAAGAAACAGGGACCGGAUACAGAAGUCGCGAGAGGGAAAAUCUAGAUAACACUUGCCGACAACCUGGAAGUCCAUAGCUCGAAGAUGUCCUGUAAUUUAAUUUCUUGUCUUGUUUAUGAGGUCCAUCGAAUCAGCGGGGCUGUUUCAACCCGAAGGCUGCCGAAGCAGCGGUCCCUGUCGAGCAACGCUUGAGCACCUACAAUUCCCCAUGCGAACGCCCAUCUUACCUUUUUAUAUCCGCUGCAGCUGCUGUUGUUGUUGGUAUAUGCAUAUUCUAGGCGUCG